RNAcentral lists this ribosomal RNA (383 nucleotides) under uncultured soil bacterium. RNAcentral's name for it is "bacterial SSU rRNA". It matches the Rfam family "Bacterial small subunit ribosomal RNA", at positions 26 to 408 of the family's 1533-position model. The record is from RNAcentral.
AGAUUGAACGCUGGCGGCAUGCCUUACACAUGCAAGUCGAACGGCAGCACGGGAGCAAUCCUGGUGGCGAGUGGCGAACGGGUGAGUAAUAUAUCGGAACGUGCCCAGUCGUGGGGGGAUAACGCAGCGAAAGCUGUGCUAAUACCGCAUACGAUCUAUGGAUGAAAGCGGGGGAUCGCAAGACCUCGCGCGAUUGGAGCGGCCGAUAUCAGAUUAGCUAGUUGGUAGGGGUAAAGCCUACAAGGCGACGAUCUGUAGCUGGUCUGAGAGGACGACCAGCCACACUGGAACUGAGACACGGUCCAGACUCCGUAGGGAGCAGCAGUGGGUAAUUUUGGACAAGUGGCGACAAGCCUGAUCCAGUACAAGUGCCGCGUGCAGGA